Molecule: ribosomal RNA, 269 nt
Filed under: uncultured bacterium
Lineage: Bacteria
Description: partial 16S ribosomal RNA
Rfam family: Bacterial small subunit ribosomal RNA
Source: RNAcentral
UACGUAGGGGGCAAGCGUUGUCCGGAAUCAUUGGGCGUAAAGCGCGUGUAGGCGGUCCGGUAAGUCGGCUGUGAAAGUCCAGGGCUCAACCCUGGGAUGCCGGUCGAUACUGCCGGACUAGAGUUCGGAAGAGGCGAGUGGAAUUCCCGGUGUAGCGGUGAAAUGCGCAGAUAUCGGGAGGAACACCAAUGGCGAAGGCAGCUCGCUGGGACGUUACUGACGCUGAGACGCGAAAGCGUGGGGAGCAAACAGGAUUACAAACCCGGUAG